GAAGCAUGACCGUAAGGACAUGUGGACAGUAUGGGAGUGAGAAUGUUGGCAUGAGUAGCGAGAUGUGGGUGAGAAUCCCACAGGCCGUCAACCCAAGGUUUCCAGGGGAAGGUUCGUCCGCCCUGGGCUAGUCGGGACCUAAGCUGAGGCAGAUAGGCGUAGGUGAUGGACAACAGGUUGAUAUUCCUGUACUACCGAUAACC
This 203-nucleotide ribosomal RNA is filed under the name Clostridioides difficile. RNAcentral describes it as "partial 23S ribosomal RNA". It matches the Rfam family "Bacterial large subunit ribosomal RNA", at positions 1252 to 1455 of the family's 2925-position model. Lineage: Bacteria; Bacillati; Bacillota; Clostridia; Peptostreptococcales; Peptostreptococcaceae. The record is from RNAcentral.